AAUUCUAACUAAACUAUUCCCUG
RNAcentral lists this transfer RNA (23 nucleotides) under Sus scrofa (pig). RNAcentral's name for it is "partial transfer RNA-Pro". Lineage: Eukaryota; Metazoa; Chordata; Mammalia; Artiodactyla; Suidae. RNAcentral also lists the same sequence under 5 other names. The record is from RNAcentral.